Molecule: long non-coding RNA, 911 nt
Organism: Ostrea edulis (European flat oyster)
Lineage: Eukaryota; Metazoa; Mollusca; Bivalvia; Ostreida; Ostreidae
Exons: 4
Source: RefSeq, a predicted model, not a curated record
UUCACGAGACAAACUACACAGGUUCAGUGAGUUAUAAAACGACUAUAAACUCCCAUAUAGUAAGUAAUUUGUCCACCAAUUCAUAAAACAUUGCACUUAUUCACCUCCCAAUUUGCCACAAUAAAACACCCCACUUUGUCCCACAUAGACCUUCUAAUUCGACUAAAAUAUUUUGUAUUAUUUUAUUUCAAUUCGACCUUCAAAUUCGUAAUAAACGAUUGUUCUAUUUAAUAUACAUGCAUUGACGCUGUGUAUUACUUCAUGGAAUAAAUAUACACUGCGUAAAUAUAGAAAUGUUGUAGUUUGUUACAAGAGCACAGGGAAAGGGAGAUUACGAGCUACUUACUCUAAUGUGGGAGACUAUAUAAUACCAAAGCGGACAUUUCAAAUUUUACUGGUGAGAAUAAAAGACGAGAUCAAAAAGACAGUGAUAGAUGUUGCUUUUCAACAACUGUCUGCAAACAACUGUUACUGAAGUGUUCAAAAUGGAGGAUUAUAAUUGAAAGAUAACAAGGGACCUAUUUGCACUGACGUUUCUCUGCUUUGGGGAUUGUUUCAAUAUUUUCAUUGAUUCAUGAAGUGAAAUAUGAAGUUUAUGUCUUCAACUGGAGCAAAUGGAUUCAGAUAUAUCACCUUUCGAGGUGAAACUUUUUACCAACCUGAAGGAUGUAGCAUGGAAAAGAAAGUUCACAACAGUAAAAUGGACAACACUUAACAGGAACAGGACAAGAUGGCGGCUGCAUAGUGUGGAAAUCAGUCACAAAAACAUCAUUCAAUUGGAUAAAUAAAGAGUCCUAGUCAAGUCAAAGUUAAGACCUCAGAAAGGUAGUGAUCGUACCUUCGCCACACGCCACACGCUUUGCAGUUAGAAUUCAGAGCCACGGGUCUUUCGGAUGAGACCUUAAACACCA